RNAcentral lists this ribosomal RNA (269 nucleotides) under uncultured prokaryote. RNAcentral's name for it is "partial 16S ribosomal RNA". It matches the Rfam family "Bacterial small subunit ribosomal RNA", at positions 524 to 792 of the family's 1533-position model. The record is from RNAcentral.
UACGUAGAAGGCAAACGUUAUUCGGAUUUACUGGGCGUAAAGCGGGCGUAGACGGUUUGUUAAGUCGGAUGUGAAAUCUCCUAACUCAAUUGGGAGAGGUCAUUCGAUACUAGGAGACUUGAGGAUAGCAGAGGAAGGCGGAACUCCCGAAGUAGCGGUGAUAUGCGUAGAUAUCGGGAGGAACACCAGUGGCGAAGGCGGCCUUCUAGGCUAUUCCUGACGUUGAGGCCCAAAAGCGUGGGGAGCGAAACGGAUUAGAUACCCCUGUA